UGCGCAGGCGGGCUAUUAAGUCAGUGGUGAAAUCUCUCGGCUCAACCGAGAAACUGCCAUUGAAACUGAUAGUCUUGAGUAUGGUUGUGGUAGGCGGAAUAUAGCAUGUAGCGGUGAAAUGCUUAGAUAUGCUAUAGAACACCGAUCGCGAAGGCAGCUUACCAAACCAUUACUGACGCUCAUGCACGAAAGCGUGGGGAGCAAACAGGAUUAGAUACCCUGGUAGUCC
This 229-nucleotide ribosomal RNA is filed under the name uncultured bacterium. RNAcentral's name for it is "partial 16S ribosomal RNA". It matches the Rfam family "Bacterial small subunit ribosomal RNA", at positions 568 to 796 of the family's 1533-position model. The record is from RNAcentral.